UGGUCUCUUAGUUAAAUUGGAUAUAACUACUGCCUCCUAAGCAGUGAUUGCCAGUUCGAUUCUGGCAGGGGCCAUC
This 76-nucleotide transfer RNA is filed under the name Lactococcus lactis. Its description in RNAcentral is "tRNA-Arg". It matches the Rfam family "tRNA". From Rfam's summary of the family: Transfer RNA (tRNA) molecules are approximately 80 nucleotides in length. Their secondary structure includes four short double-helical elements and three loops (D, anti-codon, and T loops). Lineage: Bacteria; Bacillati; Bacillota; Bacilli; Lactobacillales; Streptococcaceae. The record is from RNAcentral. RNAcentral also lists the same sequence under 2 other names.